GGAAACGUCUGCUAAUACCGCAUAGGACAUGGAAUCACAUGAUUCCGUGAGGAAAGGUGGCGCAAGCUAUCGCUAAGAGAUGGACCCGCGGUGCAUUAGCUAGUUGGUAGGGUAACGGCCUACCAAGGCGAUGAUGCAUAGCCGACCUGAGAGGGUGAUCGGCCACAUUGGGACUGAGACACGGCCCAAACUCCUACGGGAGGCAGCAGUAGGGAAUCUUCCGCAAUGGACGCAAGUCUGACGGAGCAACGCCGCGUGAGUGAAGAAGGUCUUCGGAUCGUAAAGCUCUGUUGUUAGAGAAGAACAGCGCAUAGAGUAACUGUUAUGCGUGUGAC
This 335-nucleotide ribosomal RNA is filed under the name Abiotrophia defectiva. RNAcentral's name for it is "bacterial SSU rRNA". It matches the Rfam family "Bacterial small subunit ribosomal RNA", at positions 152 to 473 of the family's 1533-position model. Lineage: Bacteria; Bacillati; Bacillota; Bacilli; Lactobacillales; Aerococcaceae. The record is from RNAcentral.